Long non-coding RNA from Bos taurus (domestic cattle), 836 nucleotides. The record is from Ensembl. Lineage: Eukaryota; Metazoa; Chordata; Mammalia; Artiodactyla; Bovidae.
ACCAGCUGACCUCAGGCGGCGGGUCAGCUCCCGGCCCCGCCCACCUCUGCACAUGCGCAUGGAGGCCCUCUACGGCCACGCCACUGCUGCUGACCCAUGCUCCUGCUGCUGCUCUGAUGGAAUGGAGUGCGGACGCAUGUGUUUCUGUCGCUGUGAAUUUUAAUGAGGUUACACUGACUUAGACCCUUAAGAGUUUCUGGGCUGGGCCUGGCCUAGCAAUGGCUCUGCACAAUUUAGUGAGUCGUAAGGAGUGCUGUCACUGUUCUCUGGGUGCUGGGCCCCAGGAGUCACAGAAGGGCUCCAUCAGCACACAGAAUGCAGAAGCGUGCGGCUAUUUAGAGCUCUCCCUGGCUCUCACCUGAUCUUCAAUGAUACGGGAAGAUUAAGUACCAGGAUCGGAAAAGAUAUGGGAGAGAACUGGUUGGAGCACACUCGAGUUCAGUAGAUGUGGAAACACGUGCCCUCAGGAAGUCCCACGGACAGAGGAGCCUGUGGGUUACAGUCCCUGGGAUUGCAAAAAGUUGAACACAACUUGGCGGCUAAACAACAACAAUCAGCCAACCUAUACAGGGAGUCCCCAACACGCAAACCUUCAAGUUGUGAACUUUCAGAGAUGUGAAUGUGCUUCUGGUUCUAGCAAGGAGCCAGAACCCAUGCCAUCAACAUCAGGCAUGAGUGAAAUUGCAGUCUGCUCUCCAUCUUCUGCUGCUGACAGUCCUUCAGCUCUGCCAUCUCCCACCUGCUCUCCCUCCUCCCGUCGGUAACUUCUUGCCUGUUCACUUGAUACCAGCCCCUGUAUGCCAGCUUUUGUACUGCACUGCUGUACUUUUCAAAAU